Molecule: long non-coding RNA, 444 nt
Organism: Dermacentor andersoni
Lineage: Eukaryota; Metazoa; Arthropoda; Arachnida; Ixodida; Ixodidae
Source: RefSeq, a predicted model, not a curated record
GAAGCAGGUGGCGCUUCGUGCAUCAGAAACCGAAACAGAAACUAGCAAAGCCAACCUUUUUUUUUUUUUUUGUAAGCGUUAAUCUCGUUCUCAGCGCUCGGAAGUUAUUCUAUUAGUUUGUUGCAGGGCGUCCGUGUCAUUGAAAGAUUCAGUCCCAGUUUAAAUGGUUUAAAUUCUUCAAACAGUUUGUAUUUUUUGCACCGCCAGUACACAGAAGCGUUUUAUAACGAUCUGUAUUGAUAAAUCGAUAUGUGGCCAUUGUUUAUUGCGUUUUGAAAAGCACUCGCUUCGUCUUUCCAACAAGACGCGUAGGUUCGGCGCUCCGAUUUGCAUUUAAGCUGUCAUCUUCUCGGAAGCAGGCGCUCAUGCUUGGAGACCUGCAGAGCACGAACUGCAGCAUGUAUGCCGAAAUAAACAGCUAUUGCCUAUUUAAAAUAGAACAAA